ACGUAGGAGGCAAGCGUUAUCCGGAGUUACUGGGCGUAAAGGGCGUGCAGGCGGUUGGCUAAGUUCGUUGUGAAAGCGCCCAGGCUUAACCGGGCGAGGACAAUGAAGACUGGUCAGCUAGAGGACGGUAGAGGGGUGUGGAAUUCCACGUGUAGCAGUGAAAUGCGUAGAGAUGUGGAGGAACACCGAUGGCGAAGGCAGCCCCCUGGGACAUGACUGACGCUCAGGUACGAAAGCGUGGGGAGCAAACAG
This 252-nucleotide ribosomal RNA is filed under the name uncultured prokaryote. RNAcentral's name for it is "partial 16S ribosomal RNA". It matches the Rfam family "Bacterial small subunit ribosomal RNA", at positions 525 to 775 of the family's 1533-position model. The record is from RNAcentral.